CAUUAUGUUUUUUUUUUGUCUCUAUAAAAUUGAUAAAGUUUAUUUUUUGUUUUUACAAUUUUUUUAUCCUGUGUGUCGUUUGAGUUUUCACAUCAAUCACUCCAUUAGACAUUUGAACUCGACAAUGUUAAUUUUUUGUUGUUUCUAUUGAGGUUGCACAUUGACCACUUUGCGACUAUGGUUUGGAAGCCAACCGUGGUGUUGUUUCGGUGUUUAACCCAAAUUAGAAGAUGCUUCAUGUGUGAGAAAAGUUCUGGAGACAGGAUUUGUGGUGGUCCCAAGCACAAAGAAGGUAAUAUUUUGAGUUUUACAAUAUGUUUGGGUUUUGUUUUCGUGUUUGCUCGAACUUGAAGGGGAUUAGGGUUAAUUUGGUUUCGAGUGGGGUUAGGGUUCCAGGUGCAGUUGAAAUUGCGUGAGAUCAAAAUCCAUUAUGGUUUAGGGGGUUAGGGUUUUUCUAAAUGCGAAUUGAAGAAGGGUCCAAGGGGGUAAGGUUCAUGGGGGUGUUAAUUGGGUUAGUGUGUGAUUGAGUGUGAAUUAAUAUAGGGUUUUUGUGGCUUUGAAUUGGAGUAUGUCUCAGGUGUGUGCGAUUUGGGGUAUGGCUCGUUUGAGUGCGAAUUGGAUAGUGGUAGUGUGGGUUCAAAUUCUGUACGGUUAGGUUCUAAACUUGUUUUCUAUUUGGCCUUUGUAUUUUCUUUUUGUUGUGACAUUUGAUUUGAUGAUAAUUUGUGUAUUGCAAUAUGAUAUUAUUAUUUUGUUGAACAUGGAUGAGGUUGAGGUUUUCUAUUGCAAUUCACUUGAUGGGGAGAUGGCUAUAUAAACCGACACUUAAGUUGGAGGGUAAAGAGGAGCAUGCCUAUCAUAAUCUUGAUAUUGACACAUGGUCCUACUAUGAAAUUAUUUGGCUAACGAAGGACCUUGAAUAUAAUGUUGCCAAUGGGAUUAAAAUGUGGUGGAAAGGCAAAGAUGAUGAUUAUGACUUCCUAAGAGAGUUGUUGAUUGAUCAAGACGUACUGGAUUUGGAAAACUAUGCCUUGGAGCAUAACUGUGAAGCUCAAAUUUAUGCGGUGCUAGGUGUUUCUUAACAUGAAAAAGUUAGUGGAUUUGAUAUGUUAGAACAUACACCAGUAGCCCCUAAUUCUGACAACUGCAACGAAGAGGCCAAUAAUGUUGUUAAUGAGGAGCUAAUCAAUGGUCAAGAUGUUGUUGAAAUGUGUUUUGAAGGAUAUGAUCUUGACUUAGAGUAUGGUAUAGAUGAUGCUUUUGACUAGGACUUUGGUCUAGAUAAUGGUCAAUCAUCUGUGAAGCAAAAAGCAAGUAAGAAAGCAAAGAAGAAGGUGGAUGAUGAGGAUCCUCUUGAGAUGCUUGAUGAAGACCCACCUGAUAUGCCUGGUGACUAUGAAGCUGACCCACCACAUGUGCAUACCCAUCCUAAUUUUAGGGAAAUGCAUCAUUUGGAGAUUGAUUAUAACACUUAAGAGUUGUACAAUGAUGUUGAAUCAGAGGACCCAACUACAAAGCUGGGAAACAAAUAUCCAAUGUUCAGGAAAAAGAACAUGUGCAAGGUUUUCAAAUGGAAAUCAGGAAUGCAAUUUACCUGUAUGAAAGAUUUCAAAGAAGGCAUAAUGGAGUUUUUUGUGUUGAAUGGUUAUCAAGUAAACUUUCCCAAAAAUGAUUGCAUAAGGGUUAAGGCAGUGCACAAGACUAAGGAGUGUCCAUUUCGUGCAUUUGUAUCAAAAAGUGGGAGAAACAUCUACCUUUCAAUUGAAAACCUUGGAACUGAAGCACACAUGCGCUAGAGUAUUUUACAACAAAAAUGCUAAAGUAACAUGGGAUGCAAAAUUUAUAGUCGACAAGUUUAGAGCAAGUAAAAGGUUCAAAUUGACACAAAUUAUUCAAGAGAUGAAGUCCACUUAUGUUGUUGGAAUAACUAGAUCUUGUGCAAUCAGUGCCAGGAAAAUAACAUUGAAACAAAUUGAAGGUGAUGCAAUGAAGCAAUAUUCAUUUCUUAGGAGGUACAAUGAUGAAGUUAGAUCCCAAAAUGAAAAUAAUACAUUUAAGAUUCAUGUAAACAAACCUGCUCCUACUUUGCUGCCAUGAUUUGGGUCCAUAUAUACGUGUUUGGAUACUUGCAAAAAAGCAUUUGUAGAAGGUAGCUUACUUUUCAUUAGGGUAGAUGGUUGUCACCUAAAGACCAAAUAUGGUGGACAAUUGCUUGUAGCCAUGACCAGAGAUGCUAAUGAUUAGUACUUUCCAUUAGCCUUUGUUGUUGUGGAGAUUGAAAGCAAAGAGAGUGGAAAUGGUUUUUGACACUACUACUUGGUGGCAUUGGAGACUUUGAGACUAAUAGAUGGGUGUUCAUUUCUGACAGACAAAAGAACUAGAUGACAAAAUUGAACAUAGGUUCUGCCCUAGGUAUAUGUAUGCAAAUUUCAAAAAAAAGAUUUGGAGGAGGAGCUAUGCUUAGAGAGUUGGUGAUGGCUGCUUCAAAAGCUACAUAUUUGGAGGCAUAUGAAGAGAAAAUGAACCAAAUCAAAGAGAUAAACAAUAAGGCAUAUGAGUGGCUCGCUACUGAAUUCCUUAAGAAGACAUGGUGUAAGUAUGCUUUUAGUGUGUACUCCAAGUGUGAUGUUAUUAUGAAUAACAUGUAUAAGUGUUUUAAUAGUGUAAUUUUGCCAGCAAGAGAUAAACCAAUUAUUGCUAUACAUAAUGGACAAACCUAUGAAAAGAUUAGAUUAGGAGGUUGAAAAGGAUAAAAAUUGGAUUACUGAACAUGUUGGGGCUUGUUGUUUGAGGUAACAAACACAUUGCUCACACGGAAGUUCAUCGUGAAUCUAGCAACUAGGAAUGCUUGUAAUUUUUGGGGAUUGGUUGGGAUACCUUAUAGGCAUGUUGUUUCAACAAUAUAGUAUAAUAGGGAAAAACUAGUUGAUUAUGUUGAUGCCUACUAUCGCAUACAGUCAUAUGCUAAGUGUUAUAGUCAAACAAUGAGUCCUAUUAAGGGUGAGAACAAAUGACCAAAGAAAACUGCUGACUCUGUUAUGUCUCCUAAUUACAAAGUUGGGCCUGAAAGACAAAAAAAAUUAAGAAGAGAACCUGAUGAAGAUCCAAGAUCAACUGAAAUGAGGAGAAAAAAUACCAAAAAAAUGCCAAAAAUAUGGCCAUAAUACUAGGACUUGCAAAGAACGACUAGUGCCAAAUGCUAGAUCUCAAGUCCCAACAAAAUCACAAGGGACUGCAUCUGAGGUCCCAAUUGUUGGAUUUCAAGUCCCAACAGAAGCACAAGGGGCUGGAUCUCAAGUGCCAAAUGUUGGAUCUCAAGUUGGGAGCAAGUCUACAAAGCAUCAAACGAAGGUAUAUCAUUGUUAACACCUUUUGGGACCUUGUAUUUUCACAUUAUAACACUUUGACAUAGGCAAUGCCAAAGGCAACAACUUAGCUUGCAAAAUCAAAGCUAACCAUUGAAGGAAAACAAAACCAACCAUUAAACAAGGUACUUCAAAAUUAGUCAUUAACUGGUUUAUAUAUUUCGUGUUUCUAGCAAUUGGUUUAAACUAGUUUGAACAUUAUAAAUUGGUUUACCUAAAACAAGCAAAGGGGAUUUCAAAAUCUGCCACACUCAUGACAAAAAACAACAAUGGCAAAGGUAGAUCUUCAACUGUACCCGCGAUACUAGCUUUUGCAAGAAAUUUAACUCCUGGGCAAUUACUAACAAAAAUUAUGUUGGGUGAUAAAAGGGUUGUAUGCAUCUUAGUUAUGAAUUGUAUGACCGAUCUUAAAUAAUUUGGUAGCUCAUGACUUAUUUCCAUGUUUGUGCAAGUUACUAAAGAGAAGAAAAAAGGUAAAAAUGUGGAGAGAGAUGUUGCUUCUACUAUUGACUCAUCACAUGUGAAUGGGAAUCAAAUUGACUGAUUUAUAUGUGGGAAUUCUCCACAAGUUUUUUUUAGGAAUGUAUGAAGGGAAUCUCAAUAUGGUGUUGGAUUUGGAUGUAUUCGUUGUCAGUGGGGUCUUUUUUUUGGUUAAAUACACUAUUGGAAUCUUAUGUGUAGUCUUCUGAUGGAUACCCAAAAUCCAGGCACGAUUAUAUUUUGCUUUUUGGCUAGACAAUUGCAUAUUAUACUAUGUAAUGGGAUUAUUAUCAAUGUUAAA
This is a long non-coding RNA of Glycine soja, 4146 nucleotides long. RefSeq lists it as uncharacterized. The record is from RefSeq and is a predicted model, not a curated record. Lineage: Eukaryota; Viridiplantae; Streptophyta; Magnoliopsida; Fabales; Fabaceae. The transcript is spliced from 2 exons.